GACGAACGCUGGCGGCGUGCUUAACACAUGCAAGUCGAGCGGUAAGGCCUUUCGGGGUACACGAGCGGCGAACGGGUGAGUAACACGUGGGUGAUCUGCCCUGCACUUCGGGAUAAGCCUGGGAAACUGGGUCUAAUACCGGAUAUGACCUCCUAUCGCAUGGUGGGUGGUGGAAAGAUUUAUCGGUGCAGGAUGGGCCCGCGGCCUAUCAGCUUGUUGGUGGGGUAAUGGCCUACCAAGGCGACGACGGGUAGCCGACCUGAGAGGGUGACCGGCCACAGUGGGAAUGAGACAAGGCCCAGCCUCCUAGGGGAGGCAGCAGGGGGGAAUAUGGCAAAAGGGGAGAAAGCCGGAUGAGGCAACGCCGGGGGAGGGAUGACGGCUUUGGGGUUGUAACCCUCUUUCAGCGGGGACGAAGCGAAAGGGACGGUACCGGAAAAAGAAGCCCGGGCUAACUCCGUG
RNAcentral lists this ribosomal RNA (462 nucleotides) under uncultured bacterium. Its description in RNAcentral is "partial 16S ribosomal RNA". It matches the Rfam family "Bacterial small subunit ribosomal RNA", at positions 28 to 507 of the family's 1533-position model. The record is from RNAcentral.